Molecule: ribosomal RNA, 494 nt
Filed under: uncultured bacterium
Lineage: Bacteria
Description: partial 16S ribosomal RNA
Rfam family: Bacterial small subunit ribosomal RNA
Source: RNAcentral
GACGAACGCUAGCGGCGUGCUUAACACAUGCAAGUCGAACGGAAAGGCCUGCUUUCCCUUGUGGAUUGCGGGUACUCGAGUGGCGAACGGGUGAGUAACACGUGAGUGAUCUGCCCCCAACUUGGGUAUAAGCCUGGGAAACUGGGUCUAAUUCCCGAUAGGACUGCAGGGUGGUGCCUGUGGUGGAAAACGAUUUUCUAGUGGUUGGGGGUGAGCUCGCGGCCUAUCAGCUUGUUGGUGGGGUAAUGGCCUACCAAGGCGGCGACGGGUAGCCGGCCUGGGAGGGUGGACGGCGACAGUGGGACGGAGAGGCGGCCCAGACUCCGACGGGAGGCAGGAGUGGGGAAGAGUGCACGAUGGGCGGAAGCGUGAUGCGGCGACGGCGGGUGGGGGAUGACGGGCGUGGGGUGGUAGGCUCCUGGCGAGCGGGAGGAGGCCAGGUGGUUGGAAGGGUGGUGACGGUAGUGGUAGAAGAAGCACCGGCUAACUACGUG